GGGUGCAAUCAUACCAGCACUAAUGCACCGGAUCCCAACAGAACUCCGAAGUUAAACGUGCUUGGGCGAGAGUAGUACUAAGAUGGGUGACCUCUUGGGAAGUCCUUGUGUUGCACCCC
This 119-nucleotide ribosomal RNA is filed under the name Ricinus communis (castor bean). The record is from RNAcentral. Lineage: Eukaryota; Viridiplantae; Streptophyta; Magnoliopsida; Malpighiales; Euphorbiaceae.